GCUGCCACUGCCGCCGCGCUCCGCAACCCCGUGCGCCCGCCAGGCCUGCGGGCCGCAGCGCCCCUCUCUGACCUCAGCCAGGAGCCGUGGCUCAGGGGUCCGACUGGGGACAGAAAGGAGAAAGAAUCUCGCUGUGGCUUCGGCGAGGAGUCCAGAGGGAGAGGGGACAGGGAGGAGGGGGGCGAGCUCGAGUUCGCUGCACCUCCACCGCAGGUAUUUCAGAAAGAAUUAAUCUUUUUGAAGUUGGCCACAGCUGCGAUUUAACUGACACCCUGUUCAACCGGGUGACAAUUGUUCAGCUUGAUGGGGGCGACUCACCAGCCACCCUUCAUAGAAAACAAAAUCUGACUCCCUGGUUCCUGGUUCCUUUGUACCAAGGGGCAGGGUGAACGUAAGACGGCCUGGGCCAUGGCGAAGCUAUCGAAGUCUUUAUUCCAUUUGUGUUAAUGUGCUUCACCAAAGCCGAAUUAGACUCUCUCUACUCCAGAAGGAACCAGGGCAUCAAGAAUAUGCUGGAGGAUUGGAGGCCACUGAGGUUGAGGGAAGGAGAACUGGGAAGGAAGGUCCCUGCGAACACGUCUCCCUCAUGUCAGCCAGGCCAGUUGUCCAGGAGACAUUCUGAAUAAUGCCUCAUCCUGGAAGUGGCUUGUGUUCUCAUGGACAGCGGAGAAAAAUGGAAACAUGAGCCAAAGGAAGAUUCCAGAACCUAGGAACAUGUUUGUGCGGGUCUGCAGACAGCAGACAGACAUCCCUCCAUUCUCUGAGAGCCACUCUUCUGUGUUAUGACUGGACCCGUAGUCACUAGGUUUCCAAAGGCAGAGUAAGUCUGUGGGAAAACUGACCCCUGGUGUCCACAGGGAGUGGAGUAGGUAUUAUUUGUUGUAUUUUAGUAGGACCUUUAGUGGAAUCACUAAAGGAAGAUCAGCUGACAACUAGGAUGAGUAUAAGAGCUGAAAAGUGACUUUCACGGCUGUCCCUGGUAACUAGAAUACGUCUAUAGCUUCCUGAAUAGACAACCCCACCCUACUUUUUUUCUUUCUUCUUUGGCCGCAUCUAUGGCAUAUGGAAGUUCCAGGGCCAGGGCUUGAAUCUGAGCCACAGCUUUGACUUGUGCUACCACUGCUGCAAUAUGAUUACUUUAACCCACUAUGGGGGCAGGGGAUCAAAACUGCAUCUCUGCAGUGACCCAAGCUACUUCUUUGGCUCCUUAACCCAAGGCACAACAGUGGGCAUUCCCCCCAACCCAACUUUUAAUUUUUUUUUUUUUUUUGCUUUUUAGGGCCACAUUCACGGCAUAUGGAGGUUCCCAGGCUAGGGGUCCAAUCGGAGCUACAGCUGCAGGCCUACACUACAGCCACAGCAACGCUGGAUCCUUAACCCACUGAGCGAGGCCAGGGAUCGAACCUGCAACCUCAUGGUUCCUAGCUGGAUUCAUUUCUGCUGCGCCAUGGCAGGAACUCCCCAAUUUAUAAAUCGAAUGCCCUGAAUUGCCAUUUUGGAUCAAAAAGUUUCUGUGUUCUGUCAGUUAAACAUGGCUUGCUGCAGCCCACCUCAUGCUAAGGAUAACAGAUGUGUACAAGGUGAUGGCUUCUACACAUUAUCAUGACUAGCAACUUUUU
RNAcentral lists this long non-coding RNA (1619 nucleotides) under Sus scrofa (pig). RNAcentral's name for it is "lncRNA (ENSSSCG00060018985.1)". Lineage: Eukaryota; Metazoa; Chordata; Mammalia; Artiodactyla; Suidae. The record is from RNAcentral.